AAAACGAGAUUCAUCUUCAAAUCAAGUCAUGUUUAUUCUUAUUGUUUCAAGGAACAUCCUGCUAUUGUUUUUACCUCCUGAAUUGUCAAGUAUUAAAAUGUAAAAAUACAAAAAUUCACUGAAUUAAGAACUUCCAUAUCGUUUUCUAUUUUACCAGUUUGGAAUCCAUUGAUCACCGAUUGUGUGUAUGUUCUGAUCCAAGAAGCAAAUUUUUCUGUUCAAUCCUUUUCUUGAGGCUUGCAGAAAAACAGAAAUGAGAGGAAGUGGAAGGAUAUAAGGUAGCUUCUGCAGAAUCCAAUAUACUUGGAGUCCACAUCCAAGAUCAAAGCAUCUAGCUCUGUUCACUCAGGUUCUCAGGAGUAUCUCACAAAUGAGUCAUCAUAGGUGAGAGAUGUCUCAUCCAGCCGGACGAUAUUAUUGACCAUUUAAUAGCAGCUGACCAACAGUUUUGGUAAUUAGAGAAGAAGACAAU
Long non-coding RNA from Triticum aestivum (bread wheat), 472 nucleotides. RefSeq lists it as uncharacterized. The transcript has 3 exons. The record is from RefSeq and is a predicted model, not a curated record. Lineage: Eukaryota; Viridiplantae; Streptophyta; Magnoliopsida; Poales; Poaceae.